Molecule: ribosomal RNA, 525 nt
Filed under: uncultured Glomus
Lineage: Eukaryota; Fungi; Glomeromycota; Glomeromycetes; Glomerales; Glomeraceae
Description: SSU rRNA
Rfam family: Eukaryotic small subunit ribosomal RNA
Source: RNAcentral
GGUGCCAGCAGCCGCGGUAAUUCCAGCUCCAAUAGCGUAUAUUAAAGUUGUUGCAGUUAAAAAGCUCGUAGUUGAAUUUCGGGAUUAGUAGGUUGGUCGUGCCUCUGGUAUGCACUGGCUUUACUGGUUCCUCCUUCUUGAAGAACUGUAAUGUCAUUAAUUUGGUGUUGCAGGGAAACAGGACUGUUACUUUGAAAAAUUAGAGUGUUUAAAGCAGGCUAACGCUUGAAUACAUUAGCAUGGAAUAAUGAAAUAGGACGUUUGAUCCUAUUUUGUUGGUUUCUAGGAUUGACGUAAUGAUUAAUAGGGAUAGUUGGGGGCAUUAGUAUUCAAUUGUCAGAGGUGAAAUUCUUGGAUUUAUUGAAGACUAACUACUGCGAAAGCAUUUGCCAAGGAUGUUUUCAUUAAUCAAGAACGAAAGUUAGGGGAUCGAAGACGAUCAGAUACCGUCGUAGUCUUAACCAUAAACUAUGCCGACUAGGGAUCGGAUGAUGUUAUUUUUAAUGACUCAUUCGGCGCCUUACG